Molecule: ribosomal RNA, 380 nt
Filed under: uncultured eukaryote
Lineage: Eukaryota
Description: partial 18S ribosomal RNA
Rfam family: Eukaryotic small subunit ribosomal RNA
Source: RNAcentral
CAAUAGCGUAUAUUAAAGUUGUUGCGGUUAAAAAGCUCGUAGUUGGAGUUCUGCCAGGUGCCGCCUGUCCGCCCCAGUGGUGAGUACGUGGCGCGCAUUUGGCCCUUUCAAGGGGAGCGUAUCUGCACUUUAUUGUGUGGUGCGGGAUCCUUGACUUUUACUUUGAGGAAAUAGGAGUGUUCCAAGCAGGCUCUCGUCGUGCACAGCUCAGCAUGGAAUAAUAGCAUUGGACCUCGAUUCUAAGCUGUUGGUUGCCAGAAGCGAGGUAAUGAUGAAGAGGGAUAGUUGGGGGCAUUCGUAUUUAACUGUCAGAGGUGAAAUUCUUGGAUUUGUUAAAGACGGACUACUGCGAUAGCAUCUGCCAUGGAUGUUUUCAUUGA